Long non-coding RNA from Panicum virgatum (switchgrass), 307 nucleotides. RefSeq lists it as uncharacterized. The record is from RefSeq and is a predicted model, not a curated record. NCBI's taxonomy places the organism in Eukaryota, Viridiplantae, Streptophyta, Magnoliopsida, Poales, Poaceae. The transcript has 2 exons.
ACAACUUCUCCCUUAUUUCUAUAUUACAAUGGGAGUGAGAUGGCUACUAAUUAGGUGGAGUGGUGGCGGAUGCGCUCUGAGUAUUAGGCUUGGUGUCUUCUCUCCUCUUCUCUGUCCGGCCCAUGGUCCGUUGCAUGCGUCUGGCUUCUCCUUUUAUAGACGGGAGGAGCCUUCAGGCUUAAGGAAGCGCUGGACACCCGGUGUCUUCAAUUAUCCUUCUUUACUGUUGCCUGGACAGCUGGACGAUAACGCUGCCUUCAAUAAUUGUACUGGCUACAGUAGAACUCACUGUUGAUAUUACUGUUUA